This is a long non-coding RNA of Heterocephalus glaber (naked mole-rat), 648 nucleotides long. Lineage: Eukaryota; Metazoa; Chordata; Mammalia; Rodentia; Bathyergidae. The record is from Ensembl.
GGGAAACCAAGGCUUGUAACUGAGGAAUUUUCCUGGAAGAAUUCUAAUCUUCCUAUAAAGAGCUUUCAAGUAAAAUUUUUGAACAAGCAGAAAUCUUAUUAGAAUAAAAGUAGGUUCUGGUGAUGCUGAACUGUUGGGCUGUUUGUGCUGGAGGAGGUGGAAGGUGGCUUGGACACAGCUCUGGAGUAGGCAGAACACUUAAAUGCCUGUACCUGUCAUGGGCUGAAUGCUUGUGCUCCCUUGUCAUUGGUCAGGUCUGAAGAAGUCCCACCAAUGGAGAGAAUGGAGACUUCAACUCACCUCCACCCACAGACGCCUUCUUCAAGAACCCUAAAUGCUUUACAGACAUUAUUUCUAAUUAAUCCCCACAACAACCCUGUGAGGUCCUACUGGAUGAGGCCAUCCAGGCACCGAGACACCCUGGGUGAGAGCUUUCCAACUCAGCAGAAAUUGGCCUUGCUCACCUGGGCUCAAAGCCUCUGCCAGGUUUGGCUGUGACACAGCUGUGUUGCCUGGCAACAGGGCUUAGAUGGCAACAAUCUGCUGAAAUGAUAGAGAGAUCCACCUCCACUCCAACACCUACUCACUCAAGGUGCUUCUCUCUUUCCCCUGAAGGAUGAAGACUGCAGUGCUGUUGCUAAGUCCAUG